Symphalangus syndactylus (siamang) is the source of this 741-nucleotide long non-coding RNA. RefSeq lists it as uncharacterized. Lineage: Eukaryota; Metazoa; Chordata; Mammalia; Primates; Hylobatidae. The record is from RefSeq and is a predicted model, not a curated record.
CUGGUUCCACUUUAGCUUCAAUUUCCUCUGGACUGUAAAAACAAUAGAGUUUACCUCCUCGCAAAACACAAUACAGCCUUCUCCAACUAAUCAGACCUUCUACCAUUUGCUGAAAAAAAAAAAAAAUCAAGAGACUAUGAAUUUUAAGUUAUUAUCACUUUAACUCAAUUCAUCAAAAUACUUAUCAAGUCAUAAGCCAUUAGAUAGAGCCCCCAACAUGAACAUCUGUGCCAGGACUGGAGAAGGAGCUGUGAUGUGCUAGAAGUGGAUGAUGGAGACAGGCAGAAUGAGAAUGUUUCAGUGCAAAGACAGGACGUGAACAAGGAAAGAAUUAAAGACAUCUCCAAGGCUUCUGAUCCAAGCAACUAGAAAAAUUGAAUUGUUAUUAACUGAAAUGAGGCUGACUGACAGAGAAACAGAUACAGGAGUAAAAUUAUUGACAUGCUGAAGAGCCAACUCGAUGAAACAUGCAAAGAAAUUCUAGGAAUGUAGCUUGAUCAACAGAGUUCCAAAGAAACAUCAACAUAAAACUAUUUGUGAAGAAACAAAUGCAAUGUUUAAAGAAGAUACAAGCUGAGCAUCUCUACUCUGAAAAUCUGAAACGCUCCAAAAUCUGAAACUUUAUGAAUGCCUGUAUGACACCACAAGUGGAAAAUUCUACACCUGACUUCAUGUUAUGUUUGAAGUCAAAACUCAGUCAAAACUUUGUUUUAUGCACAAAAUUAUUAAAAAUAUCAUGGA